AAAAACUAAAGGAUUGAGCACAACGGAAUUUCUCGGAGAUCAAAUGUUUGAUGAAAAGGUUAGCCUUUUAUCCUUAAGUGGUGCAGAAUUUGAAGAAGAUGUAGUCUUGCAGGGGUCAAGUUUUGUGGACAAAGAGCAGAAUUUCUUUAGUUCUACUACGUUUAGUUCUUUCAAUAGUGAAGAACCCAUGAAUGUGUCAGCAUCAACAGAGGAAAGUAAUAUGCUUGCAGAACCAGUUGAACUCGUUCACCGGGUUAUUGAUUCUGGCAUAUCUAAUUUGCCAAAGGCUAAAGCUGAAGAUAAUGAUGAUGCAGAAAAUCUUCCUUGUCAAGCCUGGUGGAAAAGGCGAGCUGUUUCACUUCUUGCCCACGCAAAAGAUGCCAACACAUUCUGGUCCAUUUUCAUUGCUGCAGCUGUUAUGGGCCUCGUGGUUAUUGGUCAGAGAUGGCGCCUAGAAAGGUGGCAGAUAUUGCAAAUGAAGUGGCAGUUUGGAGGCCACGAUGAGAUAAUGAACAGGGCAUUUGUUAGUCCCAUAUCCCGAUUGAAAGAAGUGAUAAUUGGGAGUGGUCGUCGUGGUUCCUUUAUUCGAGGGAAUGCUUCAACACAACGGUAAGAUGAUGAUGACGAAAACGAACUUGUCUGUGUGCAAGUCAUAGCUUAGGUUUUCUUUCCAGUGUACCUAAUAUUAUUUAUGUUUAAACGAUUGGAUAUGUUGUUAUGAUGGAGUUUAAUCGUGGAAUCUACAAGCAAGCAUUUGAGG
RNAcentral lists this unclassified non-coding RNA (760 nucleotides) under Hevea brasiliensis (rubber tree). Lineage: Eukaryota; Viridiplantae; Streptophyta; Magnoliopsida; Malpighiales; Euphorbiaceae. The record is from RNAcentral.